RNAcentral lists this ribosomal RNA (775 nucleotides) under uncultured bacterium. Its description in RNAcentral is "bacterial SSU rRNA". It matches the Rfam family "Bacterial small subunit ribosomal RNA", at positions 28 to 776 of the family's 1533-position model. The record is from RNAcentral.
GACGAACGCUGGCGGCGUGCCUAAUACAUGCAAGUCGAACGCUUUGAUUUUCACCGGAGCUUGCUCCACCGAAAAUCAAAGAGUGGCGGACGGGUGAGUAACACGUGGGCAACCUGCCCAACAGAGGGGGAUAACACUUGGAAACAGGUGCUAAUACCGCAUAAUUUGUUUUUCCGCAUGGAAGAAUAAUAAAAGACGCUUCGGUGUCACUGUUGGAUGGGCCCGCGCUGCAUUAGUUAGUUGGUGGGGUAACGGCCUACCAAGACCAUGAUGCAUAGCCGACCUGAGAGGGUGAUCGGCCACACUGGGACUGAGACACGGCCCAGACUCCUACGGAAGGCAGCAGUAGGGAAUCUUCGGCAAUGGACGAAAGUCUGACCGAGCAACGCCGCGUGAGUGAAGAAGGUUUUCGGAUCGUAAAACUCUGUUGUUAGAGAAGAACAAGUGAGAGAGUUACUGUUCUCACCUUGACGGUAUCUAACCAGAAAGCCACGGCUAACUACGUGCCAGCAGCCGCGGUAAUACGUAGGUGGCAAGCGUUGUCCGGAUUUAUUGGGCGUAAAGCGAGCGCAGGCGGUUUCUUAAGUCUGAUGUGAAAGCCCUCGGCUCAACCGAGGAAGGUCAUUGGAAACUGGGGAACUUGAGUGCAGAAGAGGAGAGUGGAAUUCCAUGUGUAGCGGUGAAAUGCGUAGAUAUAUGGAGGAACACCAGUGGCGAAGGCGACUCUCUGGUCUGUAACUGACGCUGAGGCUCGAAAGCGUGGGGAGCAAACAGG